This 68-nucleotide transfer RNA is filed under the name Marmota monax (woodchuck). RNAcentral describes it as "tRNA.Ala". The stretch from base 3 to 63 matches the Rfam family "tRNA", at positions 6 to 65 of the family's 71-position model. Rfam says of the family: Transfer RNA (tRNA) molecules are approximately 80 nucleotides in length. Their secondary structure includes four short double-helical elements and three loops (D, anti-codon, and T loops). The record is from RNAcentral. Lineage: Eukaryota; Metazoa; Chordata; Mammalia; Rodentia; Sciuridae.
GCUGUAGCUCAGUGGUAGAGUGCUUGCCUGGCACGUGUGAGGCACUGGGUUUGAUCCUCAGCACUGUG